GCAGCUCAGAGAAAAGUCACAAGCGGUGUGAUUCCUGUGAGUGUCAAAUGGUCCGAAUUUUGUCUCAAAACUUGGGUGUGACCACAGCUGCAGUUUCCUCAUACGCCAGGAACAAAACCAAGGGGGAAAUGNUGUCCUGCACAAAGAUGCAAUAGCUUUCGAGACAAAAAAAAGUAAGUCCAACAAACUUGGANUCCUUUGGGAAAACCCAUCCAGCUUGGAAAAGCGAAACUGGAAAAAGGAUUUGGAACUUUGGAACUUUUUAGGCCUGUGACCGAUUCUUUGCUCCUGGUGGCAAGAGAGACUCUUUCUUAUUUCCAGCUAAACUCUUGCACUCUGUCCUUUUUCCACCCUUGGCUGGGAGAACUAGAUUUCCUUUUGCUUUCUUCUGCAGGCGGCCGGCAAAGUUUCGAUUUCCCAAGCCUCAAGUCAUGAGAUUUCCUGCAAAGGGGGAGUGGAAGCUAUGUUGGCAAGAAAGGCAAAGCGUUUCUGCUGGAAGAAGAGAGAGCUAGAGGGGCAGUGGACAACGUUUUGGGGAUUUUUCGGCAGCAGUCCGUCUGCCGGCUUCUUUUCGGAUGGGGAAACUGAAGACCCAGACGCCUUACUCCAUGUGGGGACGGGCCAUAGGUGCUUGGGCCCGGUACGAGAUAUGGGGGAAGUCUCAUUUUGGAUGCAGAGUUGUUCUUGGUGUUCUGUGUUUGCUCUUGCUGCUGAUGCUUUUGAGCUCCCAAGAGGAAUCUAAGCCGGUUUGCAAAUGCUCAGAAAGCGCCGUCCAGCUAGAGAUGUCCCAGCUCAGAGAAACCACGGCGUUGCUCAAGAAGCGUUUGGAUGCAAGCAAGAAGGAGGCCUGGGGGGCCGAGAGGUUGCGCAUCGGCCUGCAAAGGGAGCUGGUGGGCGUCAACAGGAGCCUUUCUGAGACCCAAAAACUUCUGGCCAAGGCGCAGAAGGAAGAGGGCGAAAUGCGGGCGCGGCUGGCAGAAGCGAAUCGGACGUUCGUCGAGGCGCAAAAGCACAGGAACGCCUGCGCGACGCAGCUGCACACCUUGGNGGAAAGAAUUGCAUCCCAGGAAGCAAAAACUAAGGAAAAACAAGCAGAGAACCAUGAACUGCAAGUGCAAAUCCAGCAACUUCAAGCACGGCUCGCCGAGCGAGAGGCCCAGUUGGAGCAAAAAGAUAACAGAAUACAGAAUCUACGAGAAUGGAUGGAUCGGAGAGAAAGAGACGAGUGGUCGAACAGGCACCGUUCUGACGUCGAAACCCUCCGCUGCUUCUGCAUCACAACCUUCUUGUUGAUUCUGGCUGGUCUUCUUCUGAUUCUUUAGCUUCUGGGCAUCACAACAGUCCAGCGGCAGUAGCUGAGGAACAUCUGCGUCCUUGCCUUUUUUGCGGGGGCCACCAUGCGUGUGGCCACGAUGCCUGCAACCCUCCGUCUCCGCCCUGGCNCAAAAGGGGUAGGAGACUCUCAAAGAUGCCUACCUGAGGAUUUGGGGGGGCCCGUGGCAUCGGUAAGGACCAGCUGUGGAGACUGGUCAGGCGCCAGGGGCGUGCUGGGACGAAACCCGGAAGUCAGUAUUACCCACACNGACUUUGCACUUUCGGCAGGAGCGACCCUCUGCCUUUCUUUCAAGACGCACUGCAAAGAUAAAUGACUUUCAGCCCGUGUCGUUGUCUGGGUCCCGGACUGUGUUGAAAUUCUAGAGUGCUUANUCCGGGCUGAGUGUAUUGUUGCAAUUGGAUUAUUUUAUUAUGUGGUGGCAUUAUUAUCGGAGUUGUGUUGUUUUAUUGUAUGGUUGUAUCCUUUUAAUUUCCAUGUUGUUUUAUCUCGAGGUUUGUGGGCUGUAAUAAAAUGUGUCUGUCU
Salvator merianae (Argentine black and white tegu) is the source of this 1858-nucleotide long non-coding RNA. The record is from Ensembl. NCBI's taxonomy places the organism in Eukaryota, Metazoa, Chordata, Lepidosauria, Squamata, Teiidae.